AAUUUACAAUGAAGAGUUUGAUCCUGGCUCAGGAUGAACGCUAGCGAUAGGCCUAACACAUGCAAGUCGAGGGGCAGCACAUGAAGUAGCAAUACGGAUGGUGGCGACCGGCGCACGGCUGAGUAACGCGUAUGCAACCUGCCUACAACAAGGGAAUAACCCGUUGA
This 167-nucleotide ribosomal RNA is filed under the name Porphyromonadaceae bacterium. RNAcentral describes it as "partial 16S ribosomal RNA". It matches the Rfam family "Bacterial small subunit ribosomal RNA", at positions 1 to 154 of the family's 1533-position model. The record is from RNAcentral. Lineage: Bacteria; Pseudomonadati; Bacteroidota; Bacteroidia; Bacteroidales; Porphyromonadaceae.